AGGUGCCUGUCCACGUGAGAGUAAAGUCGCUCUCGAGAGUAGUACUCGCCAGUGGACACGCUGCCGAGAGUAACUGCAGGCGUGUUACUCUCAGUCGUGAGAGUACUCUCGAGAGCAACUUUCAGAAUUUACUCUCACGUGGACAGGCACCUUCAGUCGUGAGAGUACUCUCGAGAGCAACUUUCAGAAUUUACUCUCACGUGGACAGGCACCUUAAUUAAGGGAUACAUUCUACUUGGACGCUGACAGCGUUUUCGACUUGGCGUUGUAAACGCUACAAGCGUUUAGAUGGGUGCGUUUAGAAUUGUGUUCUCAACGCUCCCGACGUUCAAGUGGUUGAACGCAUCCACAGAGAGAAUAAUCGUUUGUUAUCUCUGUAUCGUACCAACGCUUGUUUCGCUGUCUUCACUUUUCGAUAAAUCCAGUGUUAUUUUGUCGAGUAAUGGAAAAAGAACAAGAUCACUUGUUGUUGGUUCCGCGAUUUUGUAAUCGCACCAAGUCGAACAUGACGUGAACGCAACCAGCGUCACCGCGUUCACUUCAAAUCGAAUACGUUUUAGCGUUAUUAGCGUUAUAUAUUAACGCUAUUAACGCUGCCAGUGUCCAAGUAGAAUGUACCCAUAAUUUAAUCCAGUUUCUUCAUAAUAUAAAAUUUCGUUUUGUCAACGAAAGAGUAUAAUAAAUGUAACGCAUACCAUGCCCUGCUACUUGCUAUUCCAUAAUAAAUUAUCAAUUACAAUCAUCGUUCAUUACAUCGUUGUGUGAUAACCUAAAAUAUUUUACAAAAAAUAAAAAAUUUUCUUUAUAUCCAAAAAAUAAAAAUCUUUCAAUUCGAAACAGUAUGAAAAAUUGAUUGGCUGUAACAAACUUAUUCACAAUUCAUUACCUCCAGAUAGUAUUAUGAAAAUAGAGUCGCUAAAGAGGUUAUAAUUUUUUUACUUUCCAUUUGGAAGAUUUCUAUAAGAAGGCUAUAACUAUGUUCUCUGAUUUAUGCAAUUUUUUUAUCUUCCAUUAAUUUGUUAAACCCCCUGUAGAGACAAGAUUUCAUGAUUGAUUUAAAUUCAUACAAUUUUUAUAAUUUAUUCUGACCUUCCUAUUACAUUAACCGAAUACAAGCAGCAGGCAAUGUAUGUUGAGAUUUGAUUGAAUAAUUGUGAAAAACAUCACAAUAAUAUAUGUCGGAUAUAAAAAAUUCGAAGAAAGUGUCGAUGGAGUUGAAAUAUGUAAAACAGCGGCUCUAAAAGACUUCGACAAAAAUUCCUUUCAGUAAUCGACAAAUAAGGGUCUGUGAUAAACAAGACGAGAAAUACAACUGCCGACUCGUGAAGUGAACCGGUCGUUUUCGUGACCGAGAGAGAGGCGUGAUCGGGAGGGAGUGAGAGAAAAAACAAGGACGAAAAGAAACAGAGAGAAAUCACGAAUCUAUGCCAAACGUUUCGUGAAAUUGAGGACGAAUUGAGGAUGUGUAGGAGGAAUAUAUACAUUUUUUAAAUCUUAGAAACCUUUAGAUACAUACUUUUCUGUAUCAAAAAUCUUAUAGUUUUACAACUAAUUCACUUUCCUUGAUAAAUAUGUAAUCCCAACAUACCAAAAUCGUUCAACGUUGAAAAAUCCUCCUUAUUUUCGUUUACAAUUUACUCGAUCGUAAUCCAUGUUCAAAGUUAUUACUUUGAACAUGGAUUAUUACCCCAACGAACUUUACGAAAUAAUCGUACUCGAGCGACUGUUUCAAAAUUUUUAAAAUGAAAAAAAAAAUCCUUAUGAAAACAAUACAAAACAUCCGUAUAUGAAGCGUGUGUCUGUCAAGGCGACACAGUGAAAGUUGUUUUGUUGUUUCUACAGAUCGGAGACAAUUUUAGUGAGGUUAUAUGUGGUAGAAUUUAGGGGAGAGUAUAUGCGGAGAAUUGCACGGUCGGAAUGCUAAAAAUGUGAUUUUUCAUCGUUCAGUAGCCCAAUCGUUCCAACGUUAAUAAAACUGUUGAGUUCAUUCAUAAUUCAUUUCUUCAAAAGUAACAAAAUGAAAAGUAGCCAAUUUUCAUAAUCUGUGAGUAAAUAAUUCAGUGCUGUCUCAAAAAGCCACAUUUCAUCGCAUUGUAAACCAUGUAAAUUUCGACAUUAUGAUACACUAAAAUUAAUAUGGUCGAGAUUAAUUCUGUUUCAUCGUUACACGUUUAUCGAUACGACUCUAUUAUUGAAACACAUACAAUAACACAAAUAUAAUCAUAGAUUUAUAUAUACUAUAAUGCAAUAUAUUAUUAUAUUAUUAUUUUAUGAUACAUAAUAUUAUAAAUCAUUCCUGGAAGGCAGGCCGAAAAGCAAGCCUUAUAAAUUACAUUUUACCGAACGGUACAAAAAAAAACACAGUUACUGGCAAAAGUCAUCGGUGUUAAAAAAGAUUACGACAAUCCAUCUUUCAUUCUUGAGCAUUGGUGCGUCACGAACGCACGAAUAAUCCUGUGAAAUUCAUACAAAGAAUCAACAAAUAACAGGAUUAAUAUUGCAGCAACGUAAAGACACAGUGAAAAGUGGUUUCUCGGCUUAUAAUCCGAUUGCACGAGGGAUCGUUCGAUGUUGUUUCGUUUUUUUCUCGAGCCACAAAACCCCUACUUGAUCGAGCCUUUACAUCAUUAUUUUGUGUUACGGUUAUGACUUCACUGUCGUUAUUAUUUUUAUGAUUGUUAUUGUUAUUAUUAGGACGCGUUACGUUGUUUGUUUACACUGGGAAACGAGCUAAUUUCACAACUAAAAGAGCAUUAUAGAGUUAUUGAUGUAACACACUGCUUAUUGUAAUGCAAAAACGUCGUCCUAACCUAGCGAAUAUUCGCGCGAGAUGCACGAACGCCAGUUUAUUUAUUCGCUCUCUUUAAUCUCCUUUCUUUCUUUCUUCGUUGUUGUUCGUGCCGAGCUCAAGAGUGGCGAGCGAGUGGAGGGGAAGAGACUAACAGCGGGAAACCACUGCGAGUGAAUCUUCGCUGAGCACGACCGAGAUUUGUAAUUAAUAUCAUUAGGCUCGUUAAGCAGCUUCCUAGUUCUCUAUUUAUAGGGAAGACAGGAGAAAUGGUAAGGUAAGAAUUAUGUACGUUCGUGUCACUCGUUCGUCGGCUAAGCCCGACCGAAGCAGAAGGAAAGUCACCUUCAACAUAUAUGCCAUAAAAAUCGGUGCAAAAGAUUGUACAAAUAUAUUUUAGUUUUUUCUUAACCGUUUCCUCGAUCGAGCGUAGCCAUCUUGGAGUCCCACGAUCCGCUCUUUUUUCUUUCGCAAUUUUGCAAUUUAGGAAAAAAUGUGGAAUUAUUCUCACGUUGUGCACACUACUACGAUGUCAAUUUGGUCGUCGUUAAAAAAUGCAUCCUGAAAUAACGCCGUAAUUAACUGCUUCGUUGAUGAAAUAAAUUUUUCUUAAUUGGAA
This is a long non-coding RNA of Venturia canescens, 3407 nucleotides long. RefSeq lists it as uncharacterized. Lineage: Eukaryota; Metazoa; Arthropoda; Insecta; Hymenoptera; Ichneumonidae. The transcript is spliced from 2 exons. The record is from RefSeq and is a predicted model, not a curated record.